RNAcentral lists this long non-coding RNA (2659 nucleotides) under Homo sapiens (human). RNAcentral describes it as "non-protein coding lnc-TRIM74-1:5". The record is from RNAcentral. Lineage: Eukaryota; Metazoa; Chordata; Mammalia; Primates; Hominidae.
GCUCCCUCUGCCAGGAGGAGAAUGAAGACAUGGUACAAGAUGCGCUGCAGCAGAACCCGGGCGCCUUCAGGCUAGCUCCCGCCCUGCCUGCCCGGCCCCACCGAGGCCUGAGCACGUUCCCGGGUGCCGAGCACUGCCUCCGGGCUUCCCCCAAGACCACGCUUAGCGGUGGCUUCUUCGUUGCUGUAAUUGAACGGGUCGAGAUGCCGACCUCAGCCUCACAGGCCAAAGCAUCAGCACCAGAACGCACACCCAGCCCAGCCCCAAAGAGAAAGAAGAGAGCAAAAAGCUGCAGCCGGUGCUUGCACACCGCCUUGCACAUAGCAGAGGCUCCGGGCUCACUCCUUCCUGGUGGGAAAGGAAGAUGCCUGUCCUCUCCGUGGAAGACCCUGGGCCCUCACCGCAGGCAGCAGUUUGCGUUUUGAAAGGUUAUUGGGUCCCUUCCUCGGGCUGUGUUCUUGCUGGUGAGCAAAAGUGUUGCCUGCAGAAAUAAAAUGCAGAACGUACUCUACGAUAGAUCACAGUUUUUUAUUCUUAAUGUCACAAGCAGGAGAAAAAUCUCACAUUCAUACUAAAAAUUCCAACUAGACUCAACAGGAAUGAAGUCUCUAUUUGUAAUGGAAAGUCCCAGCCUCCCGCUGCCGUCCAGUGCGUGUACUGUACACAUCCACACUCAUUCUCACUCAGGGUUCCCGGACCGGCUGUCCUGCCUGCGGAACUGAGGUAAACUAGCUCAGGUACUGACACUAGGAGGGUCUACCUUACAUAAGGUACAGGUAGAAGCUUGAUUGCUAGGCCCAGGCCCACCCAGACCCUCCAAUCCUAACAGGUAUUUAGGCUUGAGGUUCACUCCCUCCUCAGCUGCACACGCAGCCAGGUAUUAACGAGGAUCAGAGCUGUUCUGAGGGGUGGGAAGGAGCAGCCCCGCCACCACUCACUCACCCUCAGUCACAUCGGGGAGGGGGCACCAGUUACAUUUACAUCACAUUAUUUAUAAAAUAAGAAUUACAUUUCAUAUAACAUGGCCAGAAGGAGCUCUAGUCCCCCAGGAAAGCUGCCGGGGACAGCAUUUGAGCCUCUUCUUUGCACAGGCAUAACUUAACUAUACAGCUAAUUCCUAGUUAAUAGCAUUUAUACUUAACCACCUCAAUGAACCAAGCUUGAAGGAAUUUAAAAGGCAAUUUAGCUUAAAUACAAAAAUAAAUUUUUGUUAAAAAACGUUUAAAUAUUUUUUUCUUUUAAUUUAGACACACGCAUUCAUACUUCUCCCAAAGAGGUUGGGCGUGGCAGCAAGGCGCUUGGGCCUGGGGUAUGUGGUUUCAGAAGGACGGAAGGAAAGGAUGGGCUGCAGAGGGCCCUGUUUGGGAAAAAUAGGAUUUUAAAAAUAUGGUUCAUUAAUUUAGGUUUUCUAACAUCUACUUUGGGUGAUGUAGCCUCCAGUGAGGUCAGUUAAGUGGGACAGAAACGGCAGAGGGAAGAGGUCUUUGCUUCCCCUGGGCCCAUUCUCCCUGGCUGCCAGCCCUUGAAGUCAGAACACCAUGGGAAAAUUCAGGAGUCGGCACUUGUAGCCGUCAAGUGGUGCUACUUUCCACAUUCAAUUAGCGAGGCCCCAGAAAACUUGAAACAGGAAGUCCGGCACUACCAACAUGCCGCCACUCAUACAACUCAACUCUUCCUCCAAACUCGAUUCAAAGAGCAAUACACAGAGCAUCAGACAAAGGAACACAGGACAAGGCUUGAAACAUACAAUCCUGGAGAGGCAGACGAGGGCCCAAUGGGGCCAAAGGGUAGCUGGGCGAGGAGGCAGCUGAAGCAGCGGUGGGCAUCCUGCCUGCUCCAAGAGCUUCUCCCUUCACCCCUGGCUCUGCCAGGCUAACAGUCUUGAGCCACCAAGCUCUGAGGGGCCAAACUGGCAGAGGGUUGGAGAUGAAACAUUGAUUCAGGCUUGGCAGGAAGAAAACGGCAGGAGCAGCACCCACUGGGGUCUCCAAGGCAAAGCUAGAUUCAAGGGCAUUUAAAAACGAAGGAAUCCUGCAAGGAACUGGUGAGGGACACAGCAGCAAGAAAUGGGGAAACAGAGUCCCCAGAAGGGACCAGAGGAAGAGAACCACUUCUCACAGCUAAGCCAAGCAAGAUAAAGCUUUACGGAUAGCCCAUUUCCCAAAUCCCAUCAGGUGCACACCACCGAUCCAGGCGGGCUGGACCCUGCCCCCUCCAGCGACGACGGUCUCGGGGAAAGGUGGAAGGGGCGCCUGCCUAAGGGUGUGCUAAGCGGGAGUCAGGGCAGCGGACACUAUGUACAGGUGUUUCCUUAGUUCUCCAGCCUCCCCAGUAGAACUGUUCAAGUAGAGGUCCCGGGCUUUGGCCCUCCGCAUCCUGCUUCCCCUUCCCUGAGGCUUGUGCUUCCUCCAGAAGGGAAAGGGCCCCAGGGCUGCCACUGCCCCCUGGCGGCUGAAGCCAGAGAUCCGGGGUAGGUUUGCUUUACGCAACUGGAAGGGUCCAAGGCUCUUCCUAGCAGGUGCCAAGGUCCAGAUUUAGGGAAGGGGUGGGGGGAACAGGGACAGGGGACAAAGGCUACUUUUUGCGGGUGUGCUGCCUUCGGGCCUGCAGUCGCUGUCGAGCCCCUGGGGUCUUGGAUCCCGCACCAAUGGAAAAUGAA